RNAcentral lists this ribosomal RNA (432 nucleotides) under Triticum aestivum (bread wheat). RNAcentral describes it as "partial small subunit ribosomal RNA". Lineage: Eukaryota; Viridiplantae; Streptophyta; Magnoliopsida; Poales; Poaceae. The record is from RNAcentral.
AUGUAUGUACCGCCAAGAAAAUUCCAGAAGAAAGAUGCCUUCCCCUCUCUCCCCACCUCCAAGAUGCACAACAGAACUUCCCAUCAGAAGGGUGCAAACUCUAGCUCCUCGGCGCAAACAGCUCACCUUGAAGCGAAGGAAUCGCACCGAACAGCAAACAUUGAGCAGGAAUCAGGCGGGGCGCCACGUAAAGCUCCCGCUUUCCGCACGGAUCACACGAUCAACCAAGCUAAGCGCGCCGAGAAUCGAGAUUCUGAGGCGUUAUUACUUACAAAGGAUGCGUGCCGUGAGAGCACCGACUUCCUCGCCGAGGCCGACGACGGGAUCGGCGGCUUCCCCCUGCCGCCGCCGCCGCCGAGCCUAAGCUCCUCCAUCUCCUCUGCCGCCGCCGCGGGGAGCCUCGUGGCCUCGGAUCGAGUCGGAGAUGGCUAG